Long non-coding RNA from Ornithodoros turicata, 871 nucleotides. RefSeq lists it as uncharacterized. The transcript is spliced from 2 exons. Lineage: Eukaryota; Metazoa; Arthropoda; Arachnida; Ixodida; Argasidae. The record is from RefSeq and is a predicted model, not a curated record.
AUAUCUUGUUGUUUUGCUACUCUCACUUCGGAGUUCGGAUGGUGUCUAGCAACGUUGGGUACCUCGUUUCUUGUGUGUGUGAGCGAGUGGUUGCUGUUUACGAUGUGUUCAUAUAUUGCUUUGUAGUGCUGUAAUGUGCAAAUUAGCGGACUUUAUAGCGGCUCUCUAUUUUCCGUCGUUGUCUUUCGAGCAGCGCCUGUUGUUCCGGUAAAAAUCGAGUUGAAUGAAUCGCCACAGCCCCAACGUAUAUCGCGCAGUGUUGACCAAGACCAUGUCAAGCAGGAAUUCUGGCAUGGUAUGUGGCUGCACGAAGGAUUCAGAAAAAGAAAAACAACAACAUGGCUAAUAGGAUGUUGCUGCCCAGGGAGUCCUGGCGAAGAGGUGAGCUGUUAAGAUCAUCAUAAGGUUCUGUUGUGAAGUGAGAAAUUUUGUAGUAGUGCACGAAUGUUAAUUCGUGCACUACUUUUAUAAAAAAGAAACCAGAAAUGGAAAGUUAUGCAUGCAUCAUUUCAUGAAUUGUAAUGUAUUACUAUUUGAUAUUCACAUGUUUCCAUUAAGGGAAUGAACUACUGAACCUAUAUUCAUAUCAUGGUCAUGCUCUGUGUUUACCGGGAAGUCACAUUUUUAAGGCUUGUCAUUCUUUUGUCUAAAUGAAUAUUUAUGUUAACCUUGUAUGAAAUAGCAGACACGUAUCAACACGUGUGCAGCUUGUGCACAUUAAAAUGAGCCAUGUAGAGACAAAUGCUUGUUGUUGUUUUUUUUAAUAUUCUAGCCUAUUCAUGGUUGCUCAUCGCUUCUUGCAGGUUUACUCAUUCCAGAAGCAAGAAUUGUAUCAUUGUAAGGCGAAUGGAAAUAAACUGACAUCGACUGA